GAUGAAGACGUAGCGAAAUGCGAUAAGUAAUGUGAAUUGCAGAAUUCAGUGAAUCAUCGAAUCUUUGAACGCACAUUGCGCCCGCCAGCAUUCUGGCGGGCAUGCCUGUUCGAGCGUCAUUUCAACCCUCGAGCCCCCCCGGGGGCCUCGGUGUUGGGGGACGGCACACCAGCCGCCCCCGAAAUGCAGUGGCGACCCCGCCGCAGCCUCCCCUGCGUAGUAGCACACACCUCGCACCGGAGCGCGGAGGCGGUCACGCCGUAAAACGCCCAACUUUCUUAGAGUUGACCUCGGAUCAGGUAGGAAUACCCGCUGAACUUAAGCAUAUCAAUAAGCGGAGGA
Molecule: unclassified non-coding RNA, 342 nt
Filed under: soil metagenome
Description: partial contains 5.8S ribosomal RNA, internal transcribed spacer 2, and large subunit ribosomal RNA
Rfam family: 5.8S ribosomal RNA (bases 1-119)
Source: RNAcentral